This 1263-nucleotide long non-coding RNA is filed under the name Homo sapiens (human). RNAcentral's name for it is "HSALNT0228043". Lineage: Eukaryota; Metazoa; Chordata; Mammalia; Primates; Hominidae. The record is from RNAcentral.
GCAGCAGUUUUCUACGUCUGAAAUUUUUUAUGUCUCUGGAACCCAGAAUUUGCUAAGAGAUGGAGGAACCUCAGAAAAGCUAUGUGAACACAAUGGACCUUGAGAGAGAUGAACCUCUCAAAAGCACCGGCCCUCAGAUUUCUGUUAGUGAAUUUUCUUGCCACUGCUGCUACGACAUCCUGGUUAACCCCACCACCUUGAACUGUGGGCACAGCUUCUGCCGUCACUGCCUUGCUUUAUGGUGGGCAUCUUCAAAGAAAACAGAAUGUCCAGAAUGCAGAGAAAAAUGGGAAGGUUUCCCCAAAGGAUGCCAUUGAAAAGUUAUUUCCUGAUGCCAUUAGACUGAGAUUUGAAGACAUUCAGCAGAAUAAUGACAUAGUCCAAAGUCUUGCAGCCUUUCAGAAAUAUGGGAAUGAUCAGAUUCCUUUAGCUCCUAACACAGGCCGAGCGAAUCAGCAGAUGGGAGGGGGAUUCUUUUCCGGUGUGCUCACAGCUUUAACUGGAGUGGCAGUGGUCCUGCUCGUCUAUCACUGGAGCAGCAGGGAAUCUGAACACGACCUCCUGGUCCACAAGGCUGUGGCCAAAUGGACGGCGGAAGAAGUUGUCCUCUGGCUGGAGCAGCUGGGCCCUUGGGCAUCUCUUUACAGGGAAAGGUUUUUAUCUGAACGAGUAAAUGGAAGGUGAGGAGCAAAGUCUUCUGACACACCGUGGACAUUUUAGAAAACAGCUUUCUUGAGAUAUAAUCCAGGCCAGGCGCGGUGGCUCACACCUGGAUCCCAGCACUUUGGGAGGCCGAGGCGGAUCGAUCAUUUGAGGUCAGGAGUUCCAGACCAGCCUGACCAAUAUGAUGAAACCCCAUCUCUACUAAAAAUACAAAAAAAAAAAAUUGGCCAGGCUUGGUAGUGCACACCUUGUAAUCCCAUCUAUUCGGGAGGCUGAGACAGGAGAAUCACUUGAACCCAAGAGGUGGAGGUUACAAUGAGCCAAGAUCAUGCCACUGCACUCCAGCCUAGGCAACAAGGCAAGACUCCAUCUCAAAAAGAGAGAGAGAGAGAUGUAAUCUACAUAAAAUUCACACGUUUGAAGUGCACAAUCCAUGGUUUUUAAUGUGUUCACAAAUAGUGUGAUUAUCACCACAGCUGGUUUUAGAACAUUUUCAUCACCCUAAAAGAAAGCUUUUACCCUUCAGUCAAUCCUCAUUUCUCCCCAACCCCCAGCCCCUGGCAAACACCAUUCUACUUUCUGUCUUUAUGGAUUUGUCUA